AGCAGCCGCCGCGGUAAUACGAAGGGGGCUAGCGUUGUUCGGAUUUACUGGGCGUAAAGGGCGCGUAGGCGGACUGAUAAGUCAGGGGUGAAAUCCCAAGGCUCAACCUUGGAACUGCCUUUGAUACUGUUUGUCUUGAGUUCGAGAGAGGUAAGUGGAACUGCGAGUGUAGAGGUGAAAUUCGUAGAUAUUCGCAAGAACACCAGUGGCGAAGGCGGCUUACUGGCUCGAAACUGACGCUGAGGCGCGAAAGCGUGGGGAGCAAACAGGAUUAGAUACCCCAGUAGUCCCUGUCUCUUAUAC
Molecule: ribosomal RNA, 303 nt
Filed under: uncultured bacterium
Lineage: Bacteria
Description: partial 16S ribosomal RNA
Rfam family: Bacterial small subunit ribosomal RNA
Source: RNAcentral